This 334-nucleotide ribosomal RNA is filed under the name uncultured bacterium. Its description in RNAcentral is "bacterial SSU rRNA". It matches the Rfam family "Bacterial small subunit ribosomal RNA", at positions 28 to 348 of the family's 1533-position model. The record is from RNAcentral.
GACGAACGCUGGCGGCGUGCUUAACACAUGCAAGUCGAGCGGUAAGGCCCUUUCGGGGGUACACGAGCGGCGAACGGGUGAGUAACGCGUGAAGAACCUGCCUUCAACAGGGGGAUAACACUCCCAACGGGGUGCUAAUACCGCAUGAGACCACGGGUCCACCUGGACCAGGGGUCAAAGGUGGCCUCUGCUUGCAAGCUACCGGUUGAAGAUGGCUUCGCGUCCCAUUAGCUAGUUGGCGGUGAACGGACCACCAAGGCGACGAUGGGUAGCUGGUCUGAGAGGAUGGUCAGCCACACUGGGACUGAGAUACGGCCCAGACUCCUACGGGAGG